RNAcentral lists this ribosomal RNA (492 nucleotides) under uncultured bacterium. Its description in RNAcentral is "partial 16S ribosomal RNA". It matches the Rfam family "Bacterial small subunit ribosomal RNA", at positions 29 to 507 of the family's 1533-position model. The record is from RNAcentral.
AGUGAACGCUGGCGGUAGGCCUAACACAUGCAAGUCGAACGGCAACACAGUAAGCUCUUGCUCUUACCGUUGGCGACUGGCGGACGGGUGAGAAAUACAUCGGCUUCUUCUUUUUCUUGGGUGAUAACGUAAGGCCGCUUACGCUAAUACCUCAUACAACCUACCGGUGAAUUCAGUAGUUCUUCACACCUUUCGCGUUUCUUUUAGCCGAUUUCGGAUUAGCUAGUUGGCGAGGUAAAGGCCCACCAAGGCGACGAUCCGUAGCUGGUCUGAGAGGAUGAUCAGCCACACUGGAACUGAGACACGGUCCAGACUCCUACGGGAGGCAGCAGUGGGGAAUAUUGGACAAUGGGCGCAAGCCUGAUCGAGCCAUACCGCGUGGGUGAAGAAGGCCUUCGGGUUGUAAAGCCCUUUUGUUGGGGAAGAACAGCAGCAGAAUAAUACAUCGCUGUUCUGACGGUACCCAAACAAUAAGCACCGGCUAACUACGUG